This 300-nucleotide ribosomal RNA is filed under the name uncultured prokaryote. RNAcentral's name for it is "partial 16S ribosomal RNA". It matches the Rfam family "Bacterial small subunit ribosomal RNA", at positions 524 to 776 of the family's 1533-position model. The record is from RNAcentral.
UACGAGGGGGGCAAGCGUUAUUCAAAAUGACUGGGCGUAAAGGGCAUGUAGGCGGUCUAUUAAGUUAGUUUUAAAAAAAAUUAAAAGCAUAUAAAAACUUCGUUUUUUCAAUUGCGUGAAAAAUUCCAAAGCUUAACUUUGGUAAAACACAUAAUACUGAUAGACUAGAGUAAGUGAGAGGAAAGUGGAAUUCCUGGAGGAGAGAUAAAAUUUGUAGAUAUCAGGAGGAACAUCGAAAGCAAAGGCAAUUUUCUGGCACUUUACUGACGUUGAGAUGCGAAAGCGUGGGGAGCAAAAGGG